ACUUCUAAAGGAAAGUAGUAAUCCAUUGGUCUUAGGCACC
Molecule: transfer RNA, 40 nt
Filed under: Omanosaura cyanura
Lineage: Eukaryota; Metazoa; Chordata; Lepidosauria; Squamata; Lacertidae
Description: partial tRNA-Leu
Source: RNAcentral